RNAcentral lists this transfer RNA (87 nucleotides) under Thermoleophilia bacterium. Its description in RNAcentral is "tRNA-Ser". It matches the Rfam family "tRNA". Rfam says of the family: Transfer RNA (tRNA) molecules are approximately 80 nucleotides in length. Their secondary structure includes four short double-helical elements and three loops (D, anti-codon, and T loops). The record is from RNAcentral. Lineage: Bacteria; Bacillati; Actinomycetota; Thermoleophilia. RNAcentral also lists the same sequence under 3 other names.
GGAGGGGUGCCGGAGCGGCCGAACGGGGCGGUCUCGAAAACCGUUAGGGGUGCAAGCCCCUCGAGGGUUCAAAUCCCUCCCCCUCCG